This 405-nucleotide long non-coding RNA is filed under the name Physcomitrium patens. RNAcentral describes it as "long non-coding RNA (PPAT_LNC009056)". The record is from RNAcentral. Lineage: Eukaryota; Viridiplantae; Streptophyta; Bryopsida; Funariales; Funariaceae.
AAAGGUAAAAAUCUUCAUCCCUAUUGACUAAAGGCCAUACCUAAUAGACAUUUAGUAGGCUAUUUGUGACCAUAACAAGAAUUUUGGCAAAUUUAGAAGGAGCAUUUGAGAAUAAAAAGUAAGGGUUGUAAGGUUUAGGAUUUGGACUACAAUUUUUGAACAAAUUUUAGAAGAUUUAGAAUUAAAGUGAUGAAAUUUUAGGUGUUUGAAGUUAAGGUAUCUUUUUAAGAUAUGUUAUUACUAUUUUGAGAAUAUGAAGAGCUUUAUAAUAGAUUAUAGAGAUCGAAAGAUGCAAUUGUAAGGAUGAUUUUAAGAUCUACAUUUUUUGUCAAAUAAUUUUUAUAUUUGAAGUUUGUAUGAAGAAGUAAUAGAGUAUUGAAGAUAAUACAUGUAAUUCAAAGGUAG